This is a long non-coding RNA of Ctenopharyngodon idella (grass carp), 749 nucleotides long. RefSeq lists it as uncharacterized. The record is from RefSeq and is a predicted model, not a curated record. The transcript has 2 exons. Lineage: Eukaryota; Metazoa; Chordata; Actinopteri; Cypriniformes; Xenocyprididae.
AAGAGGAUCACGGACCAAUUUAAGAGAAUUUUGCUUGACAAAAAGUGUACAACAGUUUUUAUAGAAUAGGAGCAUGACAAAAGGUGACAUGAUUCUUUACUUCAUUUUUUUACAAUAUGAUUGGUUUUUCCAUAUGUAUAAUUCUCUGUUACUAGGUAAAAGCAAAUCUGGAUUUCUUGAUUACUUCAGCUUGUUACUCAAGUCAUGAGGUUAUAUAUUUAGAAAGCUGUUUAGUUUAGUUUCCCCUUUUUUAUAGACACAUUUUGGCCCCAGUGUUAGGGACAUUUAGUUUUCAAAAGCAUAUAAAUGUUAAUCCUGAAAGAAAAAGGAAUGUUAGUUAUGCCAACAGUUGACCUUCAGGUCCCUUGAUAUAAUUUAUGAUCUACAUCAAUUUAAAACACUAAUGAAAACAACCGAAACAAGUAAAUACCAGCGUCUCACUGCAGGACAUCCGUUUACAGAUCUCUUCAAGAUUAUCUUGGACCUCUCAAAUUCAGUGCCAAUAAAUUGUCUAAAGAUCAAAAACUUUGGGGACAAUUUUAUAAUGUUUUCUAUGAAGAAUAUUUAGACAUUUUUAAACUUUUUAAAACAAUUAUUAAUUUGUUAUUAAUUAAUAACAUAUUGUGGAAAAUGCUAAUUAAGCAAAAAUACACCUUAAUCUUCAAAAUUAAAUUCUAGAUUAAGAAACUUGGCCUGAGAGGUCAAUUUUAUAGGGUACAUUUUUUUUUUUUUUUUUUAAUUCACAUAAA